GACGAACGCUGGCGGCGUGCUUGACACAUGCAAGUCGUACGGUAAGGCCCUUUCGGGGGUACACGAGUGGCGAACGGGUGAGUAACACGUGAGUAACCUGCCCACAACUUUGGGAUAACGCUAGGAAACUGGUGCUAAUACUGGAUAUGUGCUCCUGCUGCAUGGUGGGGGUUGGAAAGCUCCGGCGGUUGUGGAUGGACUCGCGGCCUAUCAGCUUGUUGGUGGGGUAGUGGCCUACCAAGGCGGCGACGGGUAGCCGGCCUGAGAGGGUGACCGGCCACAUUGGGACUGAGAUACGGCCCAGACUCCUACGGGAGGCAGCAGUGGGGAAUAUUGCACAAUGGGCGCAAGCCUGAUGCAGCAACGCCGCGUGCGGGAUGACGGCCUUCGGGUUGUAAACCGCUUUCAGCAGGGACGAAGCUUUUUGUGACGGUACCUGCAGAAGAAGCACCGGCUAACUACGU
Molecule: ribosomal RNA, 464 nt
Filed under: uncultured bacterium
Lineage: Bacteria
Description: partial 16S ribosomal RNA
Rfam family: Bacterial small subunit ribosomal RNA
Source: RNAcentral